Molecule: non-coding RNA, 600 nt
Organism: Cinara cedri
Lineage: Eukaryota; Metazoa; Arthropoda; Insecta; Hemiptera; Aphididae
Source: the annotation of a GenBank genome assembly
UUUCAAAAGUUGAAUUAAAACACGUGUAACUGAACUUCCGUCUGUAUCUGUAUCGUUUAUCGUUGGCUAUGAUUACUCUUUGUAUAUAUAUACACAUUAAAUUCCCGUCUAUAUUCUUCCUGUUCAACUUUUCACCUACAACGGUGGCCCGCCCGCCAGUCCAUAGCGCAAAGGUUGUCCAUUGUCCGUCUUUUUGGUUUUUAGUCUUUGUUUUUUCCUAUGUUUACUUAAUAUUAUGGUGAUAAGGAUAAAAACACGACUAGUAUUGCUGCAUUCAGAAGUGUUUUUUGUUCGCAAUAACUUACAGUAUCCUUGUAUAUAAACUGAAUAAUCUCCUACAAGUAUCUGAUGUAUCCUAAAUUCCCAAUUACACACCUACAAUUGCAGUUACACAAAUGGAUAGUGUAAAAUAUACCCGGGGCUUUUUAAAAAAUUUACGUCAUCGUAUCAAUCUUUUUCAUUAAGUUGUCAUCUUUUUCGGAAUUAAACGGAUGAAAUAAUUUCACCAAUAAUGUAGGCAUUUUACUGUAAAAUUAUGCAAAUUACAAACUUUAACAACAGAAUACAUUUUAUAAUAAAAUAUGUAAAAUAAAAUUCGUU